This 94-nucleotide ribosomal RNA is filed under the name Cylindrospermopsis raciborskii C07. RNAcentral's name for it is "partial 23S ribosomal RNA". It matches the Rfam family "Bacterial large subunit ribosomal RNA", at positions 1 to 91 of the family's 2925-position model. The record is from RNAcentral. Lineage: Bacteria; Bacillati; Cyanobacteriota; Cyanophyceae; Nostocales; Aphanizomenonaceae.
AGUGGUCAAGCUAAUAAGGGCUCAUGGUGGAUACCUAGGCACACAGAGGCGAAGAAGGACGUGGUUACCUGCGAAAAGUUCCGGGGAGUUGGAA